GUGAUAGCUUGCUAUUAUGGAGCCUAGUGGCAAACGGGUGAGUAACGCGUAGGCAACCUGCCCUUCAGAUGGGGACAACACCUCGAAAGGGGUGCUAAUACCGAAUGACGUUUCCUAGUCGCAUGACCUGGAAACCAAAGGCCGGGCAACCGGUCACUGAAGGAUGGGCCUGCGUCUGAUUAGCUAGUUGGUGGGGUAACGGCCCACCAAGGCGACGAUCAGUAGCCGGUCUGAGAGGAUGAACGGCCACAUUGGGACUGAGACACGGCCCAAACUCCUACGGGAGGCAGCAGUGGGGAAUCUUCCGCAAUGGGCGCAAGCCUGACGGAGCAACGCCGCGUGAGUGAAGAAGGUUUUCGGAUCGUAAAGCUCUGUUGAGAGGGACGAGAGAUAUAAUCAGGAAAUGGGUUAUAGAGGACGGUACCUUUCGAGGAAGCCACGGCUAACUACGUGCCAGCAGCCGCGGUAAUACGUAGGUGGCGAGCGUUGUCCGGAAUUAUUGGGCGUAAAGGGAGCGCAGGUGGGAAAGUAAGUCAGUCUUAAAAGUUCGGGGCUCAACCCCGUGAUGGGAUUGAAACUACUUUUCUUGAGUGCAGGAGAGGAAAGCGGAAUUCCUAGUGUAGCGGUGAAAUGCGUAGAUAUUAGGAGGAACACCAGUGGCGAAGGCGGCUUUCUGGACUGUAACUGACACUGAGGCUCGAAAGCGUGGGGAGCGAACAGGAUUAGAUACCCUGGUAGUCCACGCCGUAAACGAUGAAUGCUAGGUGUAGGAGGUAUCGACCCCUUCUGUGCCGGAGUUAACGCAAUAAGCAUUCCGCCUGGGGAGUACGGCCGCAAGGCUGAAACUCAAAUGAAUUGACGG
This 862-nucleotide ribosomal RNA is filed under the name uncultured Anaerovibrio sp. RNAcentral describes it as "bacterial SSU rRNA". It matches the Rfam family "Bacterial small subunit ribosomal RNA", at positions 72 to 916 of the family's 1533-position model. The record is from RNAcentral. Lineage: Bacteria; Bacillati; Bacillota; Negativicutes; Selenomonadales; Selenomonadaceae.